RNAcentral lists this ribosomal RNA (217 nucleotides) under uncultured bacterium. RNAcentral describes it as "partial 16S ribosomal RNA". It matches the Rfam family "Bacterial small subunit ribosomal RNA", at positions 1285 to 1500 of the family's 1533-position model. The record is from RNAcentral.
GUCCCAGUUCGGAUUGUAGUCUGCAACCCGACUACAUGAAAGCUGGAAUCGCUAGUAAUCGCGGAUCAGAAUGCCGCGGUGAAUACGUUCCCGGGUCUUGUACACACCGCCCGUCACACCAUGGGAGUCGGAAAUGCCCGAAGUCAGUGACCCAACCGUAAGGAGGGAGCUGCCGAAGGUGGAGCCGGUAACUGGGGUGAAGUCGUAACAAGGUAGC